CGCCAUCUUCAGCAAACCCUGAUGAAGGCUA
This 31-nucleotide non-coding RNA is filed under the name Homo sapiens (human). The record is from RNAcentral. Lineage: Eukaryota; Metazoa; Chordata; Mammalia; Primates; Hominidae.